GAUGAACGCUAGCGGGAGGCUUAACACAUGCAAGUCGAAGGGCAGCACGUCUUCGGAUGGUGGCGACUGGCGAACGGGUGCGUAACGCGUAUGCAACCUACCCUCAACAGGGGAAUAGCCCAGAGAAAUUUGGAUUAAUACCCCAUAGUAUUACAGAUUCGCAUGUUUCUGUGAUUAAAGUUCCAACGGUUGAGGAUGGGCAUGCGUGACAUUAGCUUGUUGGUGAGGUAACGGCUCACCAAGGCAACGAUGUCUAGGGGUUCUGAGAGGAUGAUCAGCCACACUGGAACUGAGACACGGACCAGACUCCUACGGGAGGCAGCAGUGAGGAAUAUUGGACAAUGGAGGCAACUCUGAUCCAGCCAUCCCGCGUGCAGGAAGAAGGCCCUAUGGGUUGUAAACUGCUUUUAUACAGGAAUAAACCCCUCUACGUGUAGAGGGCUGAAGGUACUGUAAGAAUAAGCACCGGCUAACUCCGUGCCAGCACG
RNAcentral lists this ribosomal RNA (488 nucleotides) under uncultured bacterium. RNAcentral's name for it is "bacterial SSU rRNA". It matches the Rfam family "Bacterial small subunit ribosomal RNA", at positions 28 to 515 of the family's 1533-position model. The record is from RNAcentral.